This 492-nucleotide ribosomal RNA is filed under the name uncultured bacterium. Its description in RNAcentral is "partial 16S ribosomal RNA". It matches the Rfam family "Bacterial small subunit ribosomal RNA", at positions 29 to 507 of the family's 1533-position model. The record is from RNAcentral.
AGUGAACGCUGGCGGUAGACCUAACACAUGCAAGUCGAACGGCAGCACAGUAAGAGCUUGCUCUUACGGGUGGCGAGUGGCGGACGGGUGAGGAAUACAUCGGCAUCUACUUUUUCGUGGGGGAUAACGUAGGGAAACUUAUGCUAAUACCGCAUACGACCUACGGGUGAAAGCAGAGGUUCUUCGGACCUUGCGCGAUUGAAUGAGCCGAUGUCGGAUUAGCUAGUUGGCGGGGUAAAGGCCCACCAAGGCGACGAUCCGUAGCUGGUCUGAGAGGAUGAUCAGCCACACUGGAACUGAGACACGGUCCAGACUCCUACGGGAGGCAGCAGUGGGGAAUAUUGGACAAUGGGCGCAAGCCUGAUCCAGCCAUGCCGCGUGGGUGAAGAAGGCCUUCGGGUUGUAAAGCCCUUUUGUUGGGAAAGAAAAGCAGCAGGUUAAUACCCCGCUGUUCUGACGGUACCCAAAGAAUAAGCACCGGCUAACUUCGUG